GGAUCAGAAAACCUCCAUUCAGUCUGCAACGGUGAUCAAGAACUUCAAGUCGCGUCUCCCACACUUGUGAGCCAAUCCUCAGUAACGAGAAGGAAGGCAAGCCAGGUACCGAGAGGAUAUCAAAUUGAUCUCAAGUUCAUCAACAGCUUAUUAGAUUGAAGUCCCCAUAGUGAACCCUUAGGAGUGACCUCCUUUCCUGAUGAAUCCAGGUUGAGAUUGGCAGGGCCCAAACUUGAGUACAAGAAGAAAGGGUGUGAUGAUUUCUUACUACCAGACAAGAGUAAACCCAUAAGAGUACGAUUCACCCUGACCCCCCACUUUUCCAGUCAGCUGAUGGCACAGUGAGAUCAGCGCCGGGCUCAAGAACGGAAGUUCCCAAGUUCGAUCCAGUGACAGACCGCUCCCGGGUGCACCGGGUUGAUGUCGAGCUCACAACUCGACCUCGUAAAAAACACUGCCACCUCCAGUUUCAAUUCCCACAUGGAAUAUUGAGGAGGAUCAAAUACCCAAACCCAGCACAGCCCCCACUUGUCCCAUUUAACCUGUCUCAAUACGGUGGACUUUAGGACCCAGGGAAUUCAGUGCAGUGGUCCUUAGGACCCGGCUGAGCUUGGGACCUGCCGCCCACAGUGUUUCUGUUCCAUUGCUGGGAAACAAUCAUAAUUCAAAAUAAAGUGGAAAUAAUAAAGCAUUUGGAAAGAGGUGAAAUGUCAUCAGUCAUUGGAAAAGCGUUAGGCUACGGUUGGUCAAUGAUUGGAACAAUUUUAAAGGAUAAAGGAUAAAGUGAGAAUAAUGGAGCAUAUGAAAGGCCCUGCCCCGAUGAAAGCUACAAUUAUUACUAAGCAACGCAGUGGUUUAAUUAUUGGAAUACAUACGUGUCUUUUAAGUGUUUUAUAUGCAUAGAAAGAUAAAAUAUAUGCUAUAUAUUAAGACAAACGUUUGACUAACUGACACUAAAUAAUACCGGAUGUACUUGUUCCGACUUAUGUACAAAUCCGACUUAAAGAUGGACUCAGGAACAGAACUCGUUCGUAACCCGGGGACUGCCUGUACUAAUUUUAACAGCAGCCAGUCUUCAGACCUGAAAAUGGAUUGCAGAUUGAAUUUAAAACGCAACUUUGAACAAUGGCCACAGAAGCCUGCAUAUAUGCACGAAUGGCCCAGGGUCAGUGGAAAUUAAUGUUCAUUUUGGGUGUCUGGAGUGUGGGUGCAAAUAAGGACGUGUUUGAAAACUAUAUGUAAUUCAAAAGAAGCAUUGUACAUAUAUUGAAACUUUGGAAUCGUCCCACUGUUACAUUUGAUCUUUAGCAUAUAAAAAUGUAAUGUAAUAUUGAGUCCAUCAGGGCUUUUCUUCCAAAAGUGUCUCAAUAUGAUGCCAGUUGCUCAUUUUU
Molecule: long non-coding RNA, 1391 nt
Organism: Hypanus sabinus (Atlantic stingray)
Lineage: Eukaryota; Metazoa; Chordata; Chondrichthyes; Myliobatiformes; Dasyatidae
Exons: 4
Source: RefSeq, a predicted model, not a curated record